AGAGUGAGACCCACAGAGCAUCAGUCCUCUUAAUCCUGUGCGUGAAAGUCCACAAACCGACUUCAUCUUUUUUGCUGCUUGAGAGACAUUUCUGACACCAGAGUGACAACAGCCAGAGAGAGGAGGCUGAUCAGACCGGAAGUAGCGCUUUAAUUCAUCAGUAACAGGUCUCGGUGAAGUUGGUGGACAUUUUAGGCAACAGGAUCACGUUGUCAGACAUCUAAAGCAUCAUGUGGCAGAUUAUCAGUCAUAACAAGCUGUCUGAAACCGUUUCUUAAGAGGAUAAAUAAUGGAUUUGUGGACAUUGAAGUGCCUGGCUUUGGCCCCAUCUGACAAACCAGCAUCAUGUCUUUUU
This is a long non-coding RNA of Amphiprion ocellaris (clown anemonefish), 355 nucleotides long. NCBI's taxonomy places the organism in Eukaryota, Metazoa, Chordata, Actinopteri, Pomacentridae. The record is from Ensembl.